Molecule: small nuclear RNA, 334 nt
Filed under: Erinaceus europaeus (western European hedgehog)
Lineage: Eukaryota; Metazoa; Chordata; Mammalia; Eulipotyphla; Erinaceidae
Description: 7SK RNA
Rfam family: 7SK RNA
About the family: 7SK was discovered as an abundant small nuclear RNA in the mid-70s but a possible function has only recently been suggested. Two independent studies have found that 7SK RNA binds the CDK9/cyclin T complex (known as elongation factor P-TEFb).
Source: Rfam by way of RNAcentral
GGAUCUGAGGGCAUUCUGGCUGUGACAUCUGUCACCCCAUUGAUCACCAGGGUUGAUUCAGCUGAUCUGGAUGGCUAGGUAGGUGUCUUCUUCCUCCCUCACCGCUCCAUGUGCAUCUCUGGAAGCUGUGUGCUCAGUCAAAGAGGAUGGCCUUCCCCAAAUAGAGAAGUACCAGUCUUUGGUCAAGUGGUAUAAAAGUAGCUGUGAUCCCCUGCUAGAACCUCCAAACAAGCUCUCAACAAGGUCCAUUUGUAGGAGAAUAUAGGGUAGUCAGUCUUCCAAGACUCCAGACACAUCCAAAUGAGGCGCUACAUGUGGCAGUCUGCCUUAAGAA